Molecule: ribosomal RNA, 584 nt
Filed under: Xystreurys liolepis
Lineage: Eukaryota; Metazoa; Chordata; Actinopteri; Pleuronectiformes; Paralichthyidae
Description: partial small subunit ribosomal RNA
Rfam family: Bacterial small subunit ribosomal RNA
Source: RNAcentral
CACCGCGGUUAUACGAGAGGCCCAAGUUGACAGACAACGGCGUAAAGGGUGGUUAGGAGUACAAAUUAAACUAAAGCUAAACGCUUUCAAGGCUGUUAUACGUGCCCGAAAGUAUGAGACCCAAUUACGAAAGUAGCUUUACCUAGUCUGAAUCCACGAAAGCUAAGAAACAAACUGGGAUUAGAUACCCCACUAUGCUUAGCCCUAAACAUCGAUUGUAUUAUACAUUUUACAUCCGCCCGGGAAUUAUGAACACUAGUUUAAAACCCAAAGGACUUGGCGGUGCUUAACAUCCACCUAGAGGAGCCUGUUCUAGAACCGAUAACCCCCGUUAAACCUCACCCUCCCUUGCCUUACCCGCCUAUAUACCACCGUCGUCAGCCUACCCUGUGAAGGAUCAAUAGCAAGCACAAUUGGCAAAGCCCAAAACGUCAGGUCGAGGUGUAGUGAAUGAGAGGGGAAGAAAUGGGCUACAUUUGCUAGAUAUAGCAAAUACGAAUGAUGCAUUGAAACAUGCAACUGAAGGAGGAUUUAGUAGUAAGCAGGAAAUAGAGCGUUCCGCUGAAAUUGGCCCUAAAGCGCGC